RNAcentral lists this non-coding RNA (21 nucleotides) under Caenorhabditis elegans. Lineage: Eukaryota; Metazoa; Nematoda; Chromadorea; Rhabditida; Rhabditidae. The record is from RNAcentral.
UCAGAACAUCACAUGAUGGUA